RNAcentral lists this ribosomal RNA (297 nucleotides) under uncultured bacterium. Its description in RNAcentral is "partial 16S ribosomal RNA". It matches the Rfam family "Bacterial small subunit ribosomal RNA", at positions 775 to 1067 of the family's 1533-position model. The record is from RNAcentral.
GGAUUAGAUACCCUGGUAGUCCACGCCGUAAACGAUGUGCGCUAGCCGUUGGGGCUCCUAGAGUCUCGGUGGCGCAGUUAACGCGUUAAGCGCACCGCCUGGGGAGUACGGCCGCAAGGUUAUAACUCAAAGGAAUUGACGGGGGCCCGCACAAGCGGUGGAGCAUGUGGUUUAAUUCGAAGCAACGCGCAGAACCUUACCAGCCCUUGACAUGGGGAGUUUGGUCUUUGGAGACGAAGGCCUUCAGUUCUGCUGGCUCCCGCACAGGUGCUGCAUGGCUGUCGUCAGCUCGUGUCG